UGCCGAACAGCACAGCGCAGCGUCGCGCAGCCCGCCUGGAGCCCCCUCCCUCCCUCCUCCCUCCCUCCUUCCAUCCAUCCCUCCCUCUCUCCUCCUCCUCCCUCGCUCCCGCCCGCCCGCCCGCCGCUCUGAAGGAUGCCCGGUAAGUAGCGACGAGGACCGGCACCUCUGCCGGUGCGCGAUGUGAGGGGUUAGGGACUGCUUAUACCGCUGCCGCCCGCCGGGGGGGCGCAGGGCGGGGGGGCGAGGGGAGGGGAGGUGACAGCGAUCCGAGGCAGGAGACGGCGGGGCUCGCCGGGUGCUCCUCAGAAGGACUUUUAGCUGCGUGGCCGGGGCUUGGAUGUGGGCGCCGAGGGACGGGGUCUGUGCACCGCAGCGGGCACCGGCCGGGGCGGGGGCGCUUCGCCUGCGCUGCGGGUUGCUGCCUGCAGCACCGCGCUGGCUUAAUCUAUACCUGAAAGAAAACGAUUUUGUCAGAGCGAUCUACUUCUGUACUACAAAUGAGUGGCUGGUGUAAUUCUAUCUGUGCAGCUCUUAUCACCAAACCUGCUAAGUGCAGCCAGGCUCUCAAGAUAACUUAUUUAUCAUAGGAAGAGGAAAGGUGUUCUGGAGUAAAGUAUACUCACUGGAAUACAGUUUUGCUGAUUUAAAUUUCCUUGUCAAGAGAAGUAUUUUGCUUGUCAUAUUCUACCACAAACAACUCUUACACAGGCUCUGACCUGAAAAAACUUUUUACUGUGUAAGUCUUAUCAGGUCUUAUACCGAUACAUCGCUUUCAAAUAAAAAAGUUAAAGUAAUAACUGCACUGGCUAUAUAAAGU
RNAcentral lists this long non-coding RNA (820 nucleotides) under Corvus moneduloides (New Caledonian crow). RNAcentral describes it as "lncRNA (ENSCMUG00000018976.1)". Lineage: Eukaryota; Metazoa; Chordata; Aves; Passeriformes; Corvidae. The record is from RNAcentral.